GCUGAACACUAGGUUCAAAAUGAUGUCCCUGACUUUUCAAAGCCACCAAAUACUACACUGGUCUCAGAAGAUCAUGACACAUGAAGAAACUGGCUGAGACCAUGGUCUGCUGUAGGUGUUGCUUCAAUCAACAAUGUGACUACAUUAGUAGAGGUGGUCUUCAUACUGUUGGAUCAUCACAAAAACAAGGCUGGCUUGAAACUGACAGAACGAAGAAUCAAGGAUGGCUUGAAUCUGUCUGAUGGAACAAAAGGCCAAGUGAAGACUGCAAACCCUGCUGACUGCAACAAAUCCAACGUCUUCAGCCUUGCAUUGAGUGAGAUGGUGUUACCAGCUGUGUACACAAGACAACUGACACUUGGUUAUGAUCACUCAUGCUGGAGGCCAGUUUGAAAGGCAAAGGAGACCCUGAUCUUAAAGGAGAUGGCUGGAUCGCUCAGAACGACCUUUUCGGUAUUGGUGUCUGAAGUCCCUUGGCCCAGAAGUCCCGCUUCCACAAAUGUGCAGCGGUGUUCUCGGUGGGGACCUGACUCUGCAGACAACACAUGAAUGUCAAGAACUUGUUUGUGGCAAUAAAAAUGAAUGGAAUGAA
Molecule: long non-coding RNA, 592 nt
Organism: Scomber japonicus (chub mackerel)
Lineage: Eukaryota; Metazoa; Chordata; Actinopteri; Scombriformes; Scombridae
Exons: 12
Source: RefSeq, a predicted model, not a curated record